AUAAAAGCCUCAACGUAUUGGGCCUUUGCACCAAGAAAAAUUGUGGUUACAUGCCCACACACGAAAGAUCUACAAGAUCCAACAAUCUUUGCCCUAAAUCAAAGAAAUUACUAGGCGCCCUAAAUUCAAAUCUUUCAUUACUUUCUUAAUCUCCAAAUUACUUUUUUCUUUUCCAAUCAAAUAUUUAUCCCCCAUUUCAUUCACAUGUUUAAUCUCAGAGAAGCAAUCCUCAAUCGAUUGCAUCUCAAUUCAAUUGCACAACGAUGCAAAUUAGGGUUUACAAACAUUAAUCACGCAAUUUCUCUUUUCAAUCAAAUGUUAUCGUUGGAUCCUUUACCUUCUGCAAUGGAUUUCAAUCAUCUCUUCAUCGCCAUCUCUAAAAUGAGACCUCAAAAGCAUCAUUCCGUCGUCAUUUCUCUCUCAAGGCAGCUGGAAUUAUCUGGGUUUCGACCCAAUAAGAAUUCACUGGGUAGUCUUACAAAUUGCUACUGUCAUUUGGGUCGGGUCGAUUUCGGGUUUUCGCUACUCGGUAAGCGUAUUAAGCUUGGGUAUGAGCCUGAUAUUGUGAUAUUUACUACCCUGAUCAAUGGCCUUAUUGAUGAAAAUUGUAAUAAUGUUGAUAAAGCUGUUAAAUUAUUGGAUAAAAUUGUUAAGCUUGGGAUUCAACCUAAUGUUGUUACUUAUGGUGUUAUUGUUUAAGGACUUUGUAGGAAAGGAAAUAAUGUGGGUGCUAUUAAUUUUCUCAGGAAAAUGAAAUCUGAGGGGGUUUGUAAGCCGGAUGUUGUCAUAUAUAGUACUAUCAUUGAUGGUCUUUGUAAAGAUAAUAUGAUGUCUCAAGCUAUUGAAUUGUUUGAUGAGAUGCAAAGAGAGGGGAUUUCGCCAAAUGUUGUCACUUAUAGUGCUUUAGUUCAAGGGUGUUGUAUCGGGGGAAAAUGAGAAAAUACCCGAGAAUUGUAUUUGUUUAGGAUCUUUGGGGCCAUUGAAAACAUAAUUGGGUAAUGUUUGAUUGAGAUGUUGGAGUAUAGGUUUCAAUGGGAUUGAAGUGAGGGCAAUAUUGUUUUUGCUAAGAAGGGGAUCACCCAUCAUGUGUUUAGAGACGUGUUGUCUUGUUAUGCUUGGGAUGUUGGAGCUUUAUUUGAUCAGUUGGAAUCUAUAUGUGUGGAAAAGGCCCAAGGAAUCGCUGGUAAAUUGCCAAAUUGGUAAUAGAUUUGACGGUCAAGGAGGAAGGUUGCGGAGCUGGUGAUGGGAUUUUGUACACAUUGUUUAGUAGAUAUUGCAAGAGGGUGUACACUUGUAUGGGGCUCAAGUGCGGUUAACAGAAUGCUUCAUAAAGAUGAGUUAUGUGGCAAUGCAUAAGUGCAAAACCAUAUAGAGCAGUUUUAUUUGGAAUGUCAGGGGUGAUGGAGUUCGCCUGUAUUGUUGCCUACAAAAUCCUAGUGUAUGGAAUUUGACUUCUUGUCCAUUGAAAGAAGCUGCAGCUGCCAAACGUUCCCUUGAUCUCCUACUGAAAGGAUAUUUAAAGGGAAGCAGGUGAUUUGAAAUUUUUCUCCAGUCUUGUGGAGGAAAGAAAUCACUUUUCUUGCAAGUGGAGUACAAUUGUUGUGCUAAAUUAAGGUAAGUGUAGAUAUAGUCACACGUAUGAUGUGUAUAUUCUAUGGUUUUGAUCGGAAAGAAAGAGCAAAGUGUGUAGUCGAAGUCAGCAGAGUUAUUCUACUUUAAAAGAGAAGACGAAAUCCUAUGAAGCUAGAAAGAGAAGAUGAUUUAUGAUGACUUAUAUCAAUGAUGCUUUGAAAAGAUUGGGCUAUACUAACUGAAUGCUCGAGGAAGAGAAGGGGACAAGGUUAUGAGACAAAGAGUCUUUGAUGUUUGCGGCCUUGUGCAUUGUAAUUUUUUUUUUUUACAAUAAUGUUUUGUAACUAGUUAGGGAGGAAUAAAAUGUUCAUUAAAUAAUUUGAAUUUUGAAAUGAAAUUAAGAAGUUCUUGCACAUCUAGGAUUUUAACAAAUGAUUUAAAGUCAAAUGAUUGUUAUAUACACUCGGGAUAACUGUACACCCAUGAGUAUUUUGUUCAUAUUUUGAUGAUGUUAUUCAUUAAAUCAUCAAAUAAAGAGCAAAAACUAACCUUGGGUUAGUUGUGUGUACUGUGCAUCCAGAAGUAUAUAACAAAUUCCAUAUUGUAAUAGUCUGAUCUUUUUAUUAAAAUAAAUUAGAGUUGGCAAAGUUGACAUGACACAGCAAGAAGACACAAAUCGGAUACGAAGAAGUCGGGUUAGUGUUUAGGGCUUACAACAUGUUUAAUUAAACUAGGCAACAUGAUGCGACACAUUUGAUUAAAUAGGUUGUGUUAUUGUUGAGAUUCCUCAUAGAAACUAACAACUCGACAACUUACUCAUAGAAACUAACAACUCGAUAACUUAAGAAAAAAAAAGCAUCAAUUUAUGAAAAUAAUGGCUCACAG
Molecule: long non-coding RNA, 2457 nt
Organism: Chenopodium quinoa (quinoa)
Lineage: Eukaryota; Viridiplantae; Streptophyta; Magnoliopsida; Caryophyllales; Amaranthaceae
Exons: 3
Source: RefSeq, a predicted model, not a curated record